GUCAUUACAUGAAUGCUGACUGAAUGCAGACCAUAGACUCUACAGUCUAUGGUCUGCAUUCAGUCAGCAUUUGUGAUUUGGU
Molecule: non-coding RNA, 82 nt
Organism: Xyrichtys novacula (pearly razorfish)
Lineage: Eukaryota; Metazoa; Chordata; Actinopteri; Labriformes; Labridae
Source: the annotation of a GenBank genome assembly